AUGAAGCUGGAAUUGCUAGUAAUGGCAGGUCAGCAUACUGCCGUGAAUACGUUCCCGGGCCUUGUACACACCGCCCGUCACACCAUGAGAGUUGGAAAUACCCGAAGCCUGUGGGCUAACAGUAAUGAGGCAGCAGUCGAAGGUAGAGCCAAUGAUUGGGGUGAAGUCGUAACAAGGUACC
Molecule: ribosomal RNA, 181 nt
Filed under: uncultured bacterium
Lineage: Bacteria
Description: partial 16S ribosomal RNA
Rfam family: Bacterial small subunit ribosomal RNA
Source: RNAcentral